Molecule: ribosomal RNA, 497 nt
Filed under: uncultured bacterium
Lineage: Bacteria
Description: partial 16S ribosomal RNA
Rfam family: Bacterial small subunit ribosomal RNA
Source: RNAcentral
GAUGAACGCUGGCGGCGUGCCUAAUACAUGCCAGUCGAGCGAACAGACGAGGAGCUUGCUCCUCUGACGUUAGCGGCGGACGGGUGAGUAACACGUGGAUAACCUACCUAUAAGACUGGGAUAACUUCGGGAAACCGGAGCUAAUACCGGAUAAUAUAUUGAACCGCAUGGUUCAAUAGUGAAAGACGGUUUUGCUGUCACUUAUAGAUGGAUCCGCGCCGCAUUAGCUAGUUGGUAAGGUAACGGCUUACCAAGGCGACGAUGCGUAGCCGACCUGAGAGGGUGAUCGGCCACACUGGAACUGAGAUACGGUCCAGACUCCUACGGGAGGCAGCAGUAGGGAAUCUUCCGCAAUGGGCGAAAGCCUGACGGAGCAACGCCGCGUGAGUGAUGAAGGUCUUCGGAUCGUAAAACUCUGUUAUUAGGGAAGAACAAAUGUGUAAGUAACUAUGCACGUCUUGACGGUACCUAAUCAGAAAGCCACGGCUAACUACGUG